Molecule: non-coding RNA, 99 nt
Organism: Acanthosepion pharaonis
Lineage: Eukaryota; Metazoa; Mollusca; Cephalopoda; Sepiida; Sepiidae
Source: the annotation of a GenBank genome assembly
GCUGAAAUACUAGUUCCCAUAUGAUCACCGAAGUUAAGCAAAGUCGAGCCUAGUCAGUACCUAGAUGGGUGACCUGUUGAGAAUACCAGAUACUGCACG